GAUGAAGACGCAGUGAAAUGCGAUAAUUAAUGUGAAUUGCAGAAUUCCGUGAAUCAUCGAGUCUUUGAACGCACAUUGCGCCUCAUGGCAUUCCGUGAGGCAUGCCCAUCUCAGCGUUAGAAAAUAUUCUCAAAUUUUAGUUUUGUGCUAAAAUUUGGAUCAUGUCAAGGAAGCUAUUACUAUUAUUGUGAUCGCUCUUUGGAAAUUGAUAGGUCUUUGAGUUGCUACUCAUAGAACGUGAUGAAUCUUUCUUCGUUCUAUUGUAAUUCACUCUGGUAGUCCUAAAACUUGUAUGCCUGUGGCAUAUCUUGUAAUUUGACCUGAGAUUGGGUAGGGAUACCCGCUGAACUUAAGCAUAUCAAUAAGCGGAGGA
RNAcentral lists this unclassified non-coding RNA (373 nucleotides) under soil metagenome. RNAcentral describes it as "partial contains internal transcribed spacer 2 and large subunit ribosomal RNA". The stretch from base 1 to 119 matches the Rfam family "5.8S ribosomal RNA", at positions 35 to 154 of the family's 154-position model. The record is from RNAcentral.